CCUACGGGAGGCAGCAGUAGGGAAUAUUGCUCAAUGGGGGAAACCCUGAAGCAGCAACGCCGCGUGGAGGAUGAAGGUUUUCGGAUUGUAAACUCCUUUUGUUAGAGAAGAUAAUGACGGUAGCUAACGAAUAAGCACCGGCUAACUCCGUUCCAGCAGCCGCGGUAAUACGGAGGGUGCAAGCGUUACUCGGAAUCACUGGGCGGAAGGAGCGCGUAGGCGGGAUAGCAAGUCAGAUGGUAAAUCCUAGGGCUUAACCAUAGAACUGCAUUUGAAACUGUUAUUCUAGAGUAUGGGAGAGUUAGCUGGAAUUCUUGGUGUAGGGGUAAAAUCCGUAGAGAUCAAGAGGAAUACUCAUUGCGAAGGCGACCUGCUAGACCAUAACUGACGCUGAUGCGCGAAAGCGUGGGGAGCAAACAGGAUUAGAUACCCGGGUAGUC
RNAcentral lists this ribosomal RNA (440 nucleotides) under uncultured bacterium. RNAcentral describes it as "partial 16S ribosomal RNA". It matches the Rfam family "Bacterial small subunit ribosomal RNA", at positions 338 to 795 of the family's 1533-position model. The record is from RNAcentral.